This 373-nucleotide ribosomal RNA is filed under the name uncultured organism. Its description in RNAcentral is "partial 16S ribosomal RNA". It matches the Rfam family "Bacterial small subunit ribosomal RNA", at positions 527 to 896 of the family's 1533-position model. The record is from RNAcentral.
GUAGGUGGCAAGCGUUGUCCGGAAUUACUGGGCGUAAAGCGCGCGCAGGCGGUUCUUUAAGUCUGAUGUGAAAGCCCACGGGCUCAACCGUGGAGGGUCAUUGGAAACUGGAGAACUUGAGUACAGAAGAGGAAAGCGGAAUUCCACGUGUAGCGGUGAAAUGCGUAGAGAUGUGGAGGAACACCAGUGGCGAAGGCGGCUUUCUGGUCUGUAACUGACGCUGAGGCGCGAAAGCGUGGGGAGCAAACAGGAUUAGAUACCCUGGUAGUCCACGCCGUAAACGAUGAGUGCUAAGUGUUAGGGGGUUUCCGCCCCUUAGUGCUGCAGCUAACGCAUUAAGCACUCCGCCUGGGGAGUACGGCCGCAAAGGCUG